Molecule: ribosomal RNA, 669 nt
Filed under: Buettikeria echinosa
Lineage: Eukaryota; Metazoa; Arthropoda; Insecta; Coleoptera; Scarabaeidae
Description: eukaryotic LSU rRNA
Rfam family: Eukaryotic large subunit ribosomal RNA
Source: RNAcentral
CGCUUGAAACACGGACCAAGGAGUCUAGCAUGUGCGCGAGUCAUUGGGACUCUUACUAAACCUAAAGGCGCAAUGAAAGUGAAGGUCCGCCUAGCGCGGACCGAGGGAGGACGGGCGGUUCCGAGGGAUCGCCCUGCACUCCCGGGGCGUCUCGUUCUCAUCGCGAGAAGAGGCGCACCCAGAGCGUACACGCUGGGACCCGAAAGAUGGUGAACUAUGCCUGGUCAGGACGAAGUCAGGGGAAACCCUGAUGGAGGUCCGUAGCGAUUCUGACGUGCAAAUCGAUCGUCGGAACUGGGUAUAGGGGCGAAAGACUAAUCGAACCAUCUAGUAGCUGGUUCCCUCCGAAGUUUCCCUCAGGAUAGCUGGCGCUCGCUUCUCGCGAGUCUCAUUCGGUAAAGCGAAUGAUUAGAGGCAUUGGGGUCGAAACGGCCUCAACCUAUUCUCAAACUUUAAAUGGGUGAGAUCUCCGGCUUGCUUGAACUGUGAAGCCGCGAGAUAUCGGAUCAGAGUGCCAAGUGGGCCACUUUUGGUAAGCAGAACUGGCGCUGUGGGAUGAACCAAACGCCGAGUUAAAGCGCCUAAAUCGACGCUUAUGGGAUACCAUGAAAGGCGUUGGUAACUUAAGACAGCAGGACGGUGGCCAUGGAAGUCGGAAUCCGCUAAGGA